Molecule: ribosomal RNA, 1490 nt
Filed under: uncultured bacterium
Lineage: Bacteria
Description: partial 16S ribosomal RNA
Rfam family: Bacterial small subunit ribosomal RNA
Source: RNAcentral
AGAGUUUGAUCCUGGCUCAGGAUGGACGCUAGCGGCAGGCUUAAUACAUGCAAGUCGAGGGGCAGCAUGAACUAGCAAUAGUUUGAUGGCGACCGGCAAACGGGUGCGGAACACGUACACAACCUCCCUUUAAGUGGGGAAUAGCUCAGAGAAAUUUGGAUUAAUACCCCGUAACACAACGAAGUGGCAUCACUUUGUUGUUAUAGUUUCGACGCUUAAUGAUGGGUGUGCGUAUGAUUAGAUAGUUGGCGAGGUAACGGCUCACCAAGUCUACGAUCAUUAGCUGAUGUGAGAGCAUGAUCAGCCACACGGGCACUGAGACACGGGCCCGACUCCUACGGGAGGCAGCAGUAAGGAAUAUUGGUCAAUGGACGCAAGUCUGAACCAGCCAUGCCGCGUGAAGGAUUAAGGUCCUCUGGAUUGUAAACUUCUUUUAUAUGGGACGAAAAAAGGUCUUUCUAGACCCCUUGACGGUACCAUAUGAAUAAGCACCGGCUAACUCCGUGCCAGCAGCCGCGGUAAUACGGAGGGUGCAAGCGUUAUCCGGAUUCACUGGGUUUAAAGGGUGCGUAGGCGGGUAGGUAAGUCAGUGGUGAAAUCCUGGAGCUCAACUCCAGAACUGCCAUUGAUACUAUCUAUCUUGAAUAUUGUGGAGGUAAGCGGGAAUAUGUCAUGUAGCGGUGAAAUGCUUAGAUAUGACAUAGAACACCCAUUGCGAAGGCAGCUUACUACGCAUAUAUCGACGCUGAGGCACGGAAGCGUGGGGAUCAAACAGGAUUAGAUACCCUGGUAGUCCACGCCCUAAACUAUGGAUACUCGACAUAUGCGAUACACUGUAUGUGUCUGAGCGAAAGCAUUAAGUAUCCCACCUGGGAAGUACGUUCGCAAGAAUGAAACUCAAAGGAAUUGGCGGGGGUCCGCACAAGCGGUGGAGUAUGUGGUUUAAUUCGAUGGUACGCGAGGAACCUUACCUGGGCUAGAAUGCUGGGAGACCGCUAGUGAAAGCUAGUUUUGUAGCAAUACACUGCCAGUAAGGUGCUGCAUGGCCGUCGUCAGCUCGUGCCGUGAGGUGUUGGGUUAAGUCCCGCAACGAGCGCAACCCCUAUCUUUAGUUGCCAGCGAGUCAUGUCGGGGACUCUAAAGAAACUGCCUACGCAAGUAGUGAGGAAGGCGGGGACGACGUCAAGUCAUCACGGCCCUUACGUCCUGGGCCACACACGUGCUACAAUGGUUGGUACAGAGGGCAGCUACCGGGUGACCGGAUGCGAAUCUCUAAAGCCAAUCUCAGUUCGGAUUGGAGUCUGCAACUCGACUCUAUGAAGCUGGAAUCGCUAGUAAUCGCGCAUCAGCCAUGGCGCGGUGAAUACGUUCCCGGGCCUUGUACACACCGCCCGUCAAACAAUGGAAGCUGGGGGUGCCUGAAGUCGGUAACCGCAAGGAGCUGCCUAGGGUAAAACUAGUAACUGGUGUUAAGUCGUAACAAGGUAACC